CACCCGCAGCUCGAGUGGUGGUCACUUUUAUUGAGCCUAAAGCGUUUGUAGCCGGUUUUGCAAAUCUUCAGAUAAAUUCCUCUGCUUAACAGAUGAUCUUCUGAAGAGACUGCGAGACUUGGGACCGGGUGAGGUUGAAGGUACUUCCGGGGUAGGGGUAAAAUCCUGUAAUCCUGGAAGGACGACCGGUGGCGAAGGCGUUCAACUAGAACGGAUCCGACGGUGAGGAACGAGGGCUAGGGGAGCAAACCGGAUUAGAUACCCGGGUAGUCCUAGCUGUAAACACUGCCCACUUGGUGUUGCCCCUCCGAUGAGGGGAGGCAGUGCCGGAGCGAAGGUGUUAAGUGGGCCGCUUGGGGAGUAUGGUCGCAAGGCUGAAACUUAAAGGAAUUGGCGGGGGAGCACCGCAACGGGAGGAGCGUGCGGUUUAAUUGGAUUCAACGCCGGAAAACUCACCGGGAGCGACCUUUGGAUGAGAGUCAGCCUGAUGAGCUUACUCGAUAGAAGGAGAGGUGGUGCAUGGCCGUCGUCAGCUCGUACCGUAGGGCGUUCACUUAAGUGUGAUAACGAGCGAGACCCCCAUCUCUAAUUGCUAACGUGCAUUCGCGUGUACGCGCACUUUAGAGGGACCGCCAGUGCUAAACUGGAGGAAGGAGGGGUCGACGGCAGGUCAGUACGCCCCGAAUCUCCCGGGCAACACGCGCGCUACAAAGGGCAGGACAAUGAGUUGCCACCUCGAAAGGGGGAGCUAAUCUCGAAACCUGUUCGUAGUUAGGAUUGAGGGCUGUAACUCGCCCUCAUGAAUGUGGAUUCCGUAGUAAUCGCGGGUCAACAGCCCGCGGUGAAUAUGCCCCUGCUCCU
RNAcentral lists this ribosomal RNA (861 nucleotides) under uncultured archaeon. RNAcentral's name for it is "bacterial SSU rRNA". It matches the Rfam family "Archaeal small subunit ribosomal RNA", at positions 474 to 1337 of the family's 1478-position model. The record is from RNAcentral.